GUUUAUACUUACGGAAUGGCUUAUUCGUCAAAACGAUUUUGCAGAUGCCGAACCAUGCAAAUAACGACAAUCUAUUUAUUCAAUAAGUUUUUUUUUUUUCAUUUCAUGACUUCAAAUAGCAUAAACUUUGAAUCUAAAGUAUAUGGGCAUUUCCAUGAGAAAACCUGUAUUAGUGAAAAAAUAAACCGAAAAAAUUAUUUGCAAGGCAUAACUUGGUAUGGACUUUGCGAACCAGACAGUCGAUAUUUGCAAUAAAAAACUUGUUUGUAAACUAUUUCAAAAAUCGAUGAAGGAUAAUAGAAUAUCUGUGUUUUUGGUAAAGUUGAAAAUUAUAUGGAUAUCAGUACAAAUAUACACUACAGCUCUGUAUGAUAACCUGGAUACUGCCUGUAACCUGUAAUAAUACAUGUGUGAUAAAAAUGCGAUAUCACAAACUGUCUAAAUACAAAAUAGUUUUCGUCUUUGUUACAGCGUGUGCUCUUUCCAUUUUAUUUUUUAAAUCAGUAUGGCACUGUCAUCCAAAUCUCCGAAUAAAUGCUACUCCGGUUUCUGAAGUGAGAUCAGCUCCACACUUGCACACACAAGACGAAAAUGUGUUUCUCCCGGCUGAUGACGUAACACUUAAGCAAAUGAAUAAAAAUGAGUUAUGUAAAAUGUAUUAGAAGUACAUAAAUACACUGCAAGUCCUGUGUCGGAAUCAAAUAAGACUAGGGUCAGUGAAAGAUGGUGGAAAAGAGAUCUGUUUGGAUGGAAUUUAUAAACCUCGUCGUCCUUGUCUUGUGUAUUCGUUUGGAUCAAAGUUUCGGUUUGACUUUGAGCUCUCUGUUUUAAGCAAUUUCGGCUGUGAAAUACACACUUUUGAUCCAAGUCAUCAAGUAAGGAAUCGGACGAUCCCAACAGGUAUAAAUUUCCACAUUACUGGACUUUGGAACAGCAGUGAAACAAAUACAUAUGGAGGGGAAAUGAACACCUUAGAUGGUGUUAGAAAGAAUCUAAAUCACGAAAAAUUAAGUACAUAUAGGCACUUAGUAUAUAAUAUACUGUUAAAUUUUAAAAACAAAAACGCUAAAAAAAAACAAUAAUUAAAUGACUAAUGAUUAAUGCAUUAUGUUCUUUGUUCAGAGAGUACUUUUAGGCACUUUUUAACUUCAAUCAGGUGUAUGUCCGCUCCAGUGUCCGAGGGUAUCCAAAACUCCUCUAAACUAAAAAAAUGGACUUAGCUGAUUUUUUAUCCAUCAGACCUACUACAUUGUUCAACAAACCAUUGAAAAAUCAAUACUUGGAUGAAUAAUAAAUGCAAAUAUGUUCACUUUUUAGAGAGUGAUCGAUAUUCUCAAGAUUGAUGUAGAAAGUGCCGAAUGGAGCGCGCUUCCACAAAUGUUCCAGUCGGGUGUUCUCAAAUACGUAAAACAAAUGUGUAUAGAAAUACAUUUCGUGUCAAGAAAAUUCCGCAGUGUAACUUUUGCACAAAAACUUAAAGUUUUAAGAACUUUAUAUGAACACGGUUUUCAUAUAUUCAUGCAUGAACAUAAUUUAUUUUCGGUCAGAAACUUUAUGGACCCAUAUCCGGUCAUUACGACGGCAAAUGAAAUAUCGCUCAUCAAUGUGAACUGGAAAGAUGUUUCCUAAGUCAGGAAUUAUCUAUUGUCAGAUGUUAUAAUAAUAACUGAGCAAUAAAUUAGUGAUAUUCUCUAUACAUGUAUUUUCAAAUUUUGAGGCUCGUGGAACGUUUCUAACAGAAAUAAAAACAAGAGGGUCAUGACGGCCUUAUAUCGCUCAACUGAGUUUAAUUGCUUGCUUGAACUAAUUUCUUUGCUAAAGCUUCAAAAAGAAAAAAACUAGGUGAGAAGGUCAUGGUAAAGAUUCUUCAAGGUGAGUACUGAAAUCUGUUAAAAAUAUACAAAUCUCUUUGCUGUAGCUUCAAAAACAAGAAAUUAGGUCAGUAGGUCAGGGCUAAGAAUAUUAAAGAUGAGUAUUGAAAUCUUUAUCGAAUGUUACUGACGUGGUCCAAAUUUCUAUGCUGUUAUGAUCGGUGUGCAAAACUGUACAUGUCAUCCAAAUUUCAAGGCUGUAUCUUAAAAAAACAAGAAAGUAGGUCAGUAGGUCAAGGUGACAGUCAAGUGACCACUAAUUACUUAGAGUCAUCAAGUAAUUAUAAUUAAACAAUCUAGGAAAUAUGAUCAGAUAAUUUUUUAAGUAUUUUUUACUAUAUAACUCAUAUACAAGUGACCCCCGAGGCGGGACCUCUUUUCACCCCAGGGGCAUAAUUUGAACAAUCUUGUUAGAGAACCAUUAGGCAAUGCAACAUACCAAAUAUUAAAGGCUUAAGCCUUGAACUUUCAGACAAGAAGAUUUUUAUUUUUUUUUUCUUUAUAGGUCUGUGUAAAACUUAGGGGUCCUGGGGCAGGGCCUCUUUUCACCCCAGGGGCAUAAUUUGAACAAUUAUGGUAGAGGGUAAUUAGGCAAUGCAAUACACCAAAUAUCAAAAGCCUAGGCCUUGCAGUUUCAGCCAAGAAGAUUUUUAAAGUUUUUUCCUAAACAAGUUUAUGUAAAACUUGUUACCCCCGCGGCGAAGCCUCUUUUCACCCAAAGGACAUAAUUUGAACAAACUUAGUAGAGGACCACAGGGCAAUGCUACAUACCAAAUAUCAAAGGCCAAGGUCUUGUGGUUUCAGACAAGAAGGUUUUUAAAACUUUUCCUAUAUAAGUCUAUGUAAAACUUGGGACCCUCGGGGUGGGAUCUCUUUUCACCUCAGGGUUUUUAUUUAAACACUUUUGGCAGAGGACUAUAAGGCAAUGCUACAUACCAAAUAUCAAAGGCCUAGGUCUUGUGGUUUCAGACAAGAAGAUUUUUUUUUAAAUCUGUAUGUCUAUAUAAAAUUGGGACCCCCGUGGCGGGGCCUCUUUUCACCCCAGGGUAAUAAUUUGAACAAUUUUGGUAGAGGACUACCAGGCAAUGCUACAUACUAAAUAUUAAAGGCCUAUGUCUUGUGGUUUAAGACAAGAAGAUUUUUUUCCUAUACAAGUCUAUGUAAAACUUGAGACUCAUGGGCGGGCCAUAUUUGAAUCUAGGGGGAUAAUUUGAACAAUCUUGGUAGAGGACCACUAGAUGAUGUUACAUACCAAAUAUCAAAGCCCUAAGAUCAGUGGUUUUGGACAAGAAACUUUUCAAAGUUUUGCCCUAUAUAAAUCUAUGUAAACCAUGUGUCCACCCCACCCCCACCCCGCUCUCCCCAGGGCGGGGCUAUGUUUGACCCUAUGGGGGAUAAUUUGAACAAACUUGGUAUAUGACCAUUAGACGACGGACGCCGGACAAUCACUGACCACAAAAACAGUUGAGCAGUUCGUGCUCAGGUGAGCUAAAAACAACAACGUGUAUAUCAACUGUUUUUUCUUGUUCUUGUUGCAAUUAUUGUUGUUUUUUUAACUGAGACAUGAUGAACUCAGAAAAAGCGAAAUGGAUACCCCAACCCCAUUUUCACCUUUACACAGAUGGAUGGCAC
Molecule: long non-coding RNA, 3503 nt
Organism: Mercenaria mercenaria
Lineage: Eukaryota; Metazoa; Mollusca; Bivalvia; Venerida; Veneridae
Exons: 5
Source: RefSeq, a predicted model, not a curated record